AUUGAACGCUGGCGGCAGGCCUAACACAUGCAAGUCGAGCGAGCGGCGGACGGGUGAGUAAUGUCUGGGAAACUGCCUGAUGGAGGGGGAUAACUACUGGAAAAGGUAGCUAAUACCGCAUACCAUCAGAUGUGCCCAGAUUGGAUGAGCUAGUUGGUGGGGUAACGGCUCACCCAGGCGACGAUCCCUAGCUGGUCUGAGAUGAUGACAGGCCACACUGGAACUGAGACACGUUCCAGACUCCUACGGGAGGCAGCAGUGGGGAAUAUUGCACAAUGGGCGCAAGCCUGAUGCAGCCAUGCCGCUUGUGUGAAGAAGGCCUUCGGGUUGUAAAGCACUUUCAGCGAGGAGGCGUUACUCGCAGAAGAAGCACCGGCUAACUCCGUGCCAGCAGCCGCGGUAAUUC
Molecule: ribosomal RNA, 406 nt
Filed under: uncultured bacterium
Lineage: Bacteria
Description: partial 16S ribosomal RNA
Rfam family: Bacterial small subunit ribosomal RNA
Source: RNAcentral